UACGUAGGGUGCAAGCGUUGUCCGGAAUUAUUGGGCGUAAAGAGCUCGUAGGCGGCUUGUCGCGUCGGCUGUGGAAAACCUGGGGCUCAACCCCGGGCCUGCAGCCGAUACGGGCAAGCGUAGAAUUCGGUAGGGGAGACUGGAAUUCCUGGUGUAGCGGUGAAAUGCGCAGAUAUCAGGAGGAACACCGGUGGCGAAGGCGGGUCUCUGGGCCGAAAUUGACGCUGAGGAGCGAAAGCGUGGGAGCAAACAGG
RNAcentral lists this ribosomal RNA (254 nucleotides) under uncultured bacterium. Its description in RNAcentral is "partial 16S ribosomal RNA". It matches the Rfam family "Bacterial small subunit ribosomal RNA", at positions 524 to 776 of the family's 1533-position model. The record is from RNAcentral.